AAGUUCCCGCUGCGCUCCGCAGGCUUCAGGUUCCUUUUGCUGAAGCCGGGAGAGCCCGGCUUCAGCAAAAGGAACCCGAAGCCUGCGGAGCGCAGUGGGAACUU
Podarcis lilfordi (Lilford's wall lizard) is the source of this 104-nucleotide non-coding RNA. The record is from the annotation of a GenBank genome assembly. NCBI's taxonomy places the organism in Eukaryota, Metazoa, Chordata, Lepidosauria, Squamata, Lacertidae.